RNAcentral lists this transfer RNA (100 nucleotides) under Vibrio parahaemolyticus. RNAcentral's name for it is "tRNA-Leu". It matches the Rfam family "tRNA". From Rfam's summary of the family: Transfer RNA (tRNA) molecules are approximately 80 nucleotides in length. Their secondary structure includes four short double-helical elements and three loops (D, anti-codon, and T loops). Further hydrogen bonds mediate the characteristic L-shaped molecular structure. tRNAs have two regions of fundamental functional importance: the anti-codon, which is responsible for specific mRNA codon recognition, and the 3' end, to which the tRNAs corresponding amino acid is attached (by aminoacyl-tRNA synthetases). tRNAs cope with the degeneracy of the genetic code in two manners: having more than one tRNA (with a specific anti-codon) for a particular amino acid; and 'wobble' base-pairing, i.e. permitting non-standard base-pairing at the 3rd anti-codon position. Lineage: Bacteria; Pseudomonadati; Pseudomonadota; Gammaproteobacteria; Vibrionales; Vibrionaceae. The record is from RNAcentral.
GCGGAAGUGGCGGAAUUGGUAGACGCACCAGAUUUAGGUUCUGGCGCUUUAGGGUCUGAGAGUUCAAGGUGUGAGAGUUCAAGUCUCUCUUUCCGCACCA